AGGACUAACGCUGGCGGCGUGCCUAACACAUGCAAGUCGAACGGACACCACUUUGUAGCAAUACAGAUGAAGUGUUAGUGGCAGACGGGUGAGUAACACGUAGUCAACCUGCCUUACCGUCCGGGAUAACUAGCCGAAAGGUUAGCUAAUACCUGAUACGAUCGUCGAGCGGCAUCGCUUGACGAUGAAAGCAGCAAUGCGCGGUUAGAGGGGGCUGCGGCCCAUUAGCUAGUUGGUGAGGUAAUGGCCCACCAAGGCAACGAUGGGUAGCUGGUCUGAGAGGACGACCAGCCACACUGGGACUGAGACACGGCCCAGACUCCUACGGGAGGCAGCAGUGAGGAAUUUUCCGCAAUGGGCGAAAGCCUGACGGAGCGACGCCGCGUGCACGAGGAAGGCCUUCGGGUCGUAAAGUGCUGUCGAGGGGGACGAUUAUGACGGUACCCCUGGAGGAAGCCCCGGCUAACUACGUGCCAGCAGCCGC
This 484-nucleotide ribosomal RNA is filed under the name uncultured bacterium. RNAcentral describes it as "SSU rRNA". It matches the Rfam family "Bacterial small subunit ribosomal RNA", at positions 26 to 518 of the family's 1533-position model. The record is from RNAcentral.